RNAcentral lists this ribosomal RNA (418 nucleotides) under uncultured prokaryote. RNAcentral describes it as "bacterial SSU rRNA". It matches the Rfam family "Archaeal small subunit ribosomal RNA", at positions 455 to 873 of the family's 1478-position model. The record is from RNAcentral.
GUGUCAGCCGCCGCGGUACUACCAGCUCUCCGAGUGGUGGGGAUGAUUAUUGGGCCUAAAGCAUCCGUAGCCGGCUGGACAAGUCCCCUGUUAAAUCCAACGAUCCAAUCGUUGGUCUGCGGGGGAUACUGUCCGGCUUGGGGGCGGGAGAGGCCGCCGGUAUUUCCGGGGUAGGGGUGAAAUCCUAUAAUCCCGGGAGGACCACCAGUGGCGAAGGCUGUCGGCUAGAACGCGCCCGACGGUGAGGGAUGAAAGCUGGGGGAGCGAACCGGAUUAGAUACCCGGGUAGUCCCAGCUGUAAACGAUGCAGGCUAGGUGUUAGGGCGGCUACGUGCCGCUCUAGUGCCGCAGGGAAGCCGUUAAGCCUGCCGCCUGGGGAGUACGGUCGCAAGGCUGAAACUCAAAUGAAUUGGCGGGG